GACGAACGCUGGCGGCGUGCUUAACACAUGCAAGUCGAACGGAAAGGCCCUGCUUGCAGGGUACUCGAGUGGCGAACGGGUGAGUAACACGUGGGUGAUCUGCCCUGCACUUCGGGAUAAGCCUGGGAAACUGGGUCUAAUACCGGAUAGGAGCCAUUUUUAGUGUGAUGGUUGGAAAGUUUUUUUCGGUGUAGGAUGAGCUCGCGGCCUAUCAGCUUGUUGGUGGGGUAAUGGCCUACCAAGGCGGCGACGGGUAGCCGGCCUGAGAGGGUGGACGGCCACAUUGGGACUGAGAUACGGCCCAGACUCCUACGGGAGGCAGCAGUGGGGAAUAUUGAACAAUGGGCGCAAGCCUGAUGCAGCGACGCCGCGUGGGGGAUGACGGCCUUCGGGUUGUAAACUCCUUUCGCUAGGGACGAAGCUUUUUGUGACGGUACCUAGAUAAGAAGCACCGGCUAACUACGUG
RNAcentral lists this ribosomal RNA (466 nucleotides) under uncultured bacterium. Its description in RNAcentral is "partial 16S ribosomal RNA". It matches the Rfam family "Bacterial small subunit ribosomal RNA", at positions 28 to 507 of the family's 1533-position model. The record is from RNAcentral.